Molecule: transfer RNA, 73 nt
Filed under: Canis lupus familiaris (dog)
Lineage: Eukaryota; Metazoa; Chordata; Mammalia; Carnivora; Canidae
Also listed under: 2 other names
Rfam family: tRNA
About the family: Transfer RNA (tRNA) molecules are approximately 80 nucleotides in length. Their secondary structure includes four short double-helical elements and three loops (D, anti-codon, and T loops).
Source: Rfam by way of RNAcentral
ACCCAGCUAGCUCACUCAGUAGAGCAUGGGAUUCUUGAUCUUGGGGUUGUGAGUUUGAGCCCCACGUUGGGUG